GUUUUUCUGAACAAGCUUUUCCAUAGUGAAAUUGAGGUCAUUGAGACCUUUGUUCUCAACCUUGGCUUGCUCAAGUUCCUCAUGCAACUCAUUGUUUCGCAUCUCCAUGUCUUUCAUGAUCUGAGACACGGUUUGAAGUUCCACAGCCAAAUUAUUUAGCUCCUCUUGAGACUGAGAGUGCAAUUGCUGUAGGGUUUGAAACGCGGUCUCAGCUUCCUGGAAAUGCAAAUGCUCUGCUUGCACACAGCUCCACAAUUUGACUAGCUCGGUUUGUUUCUCUGUGAGCUUCUGACUUUGAUUCCCCAGUUUCUCCAAGAGACUAUCCAGCUCAGAGUGGAGAUUCUGAUUUGAUCUCUCAAGCAAAAGACAUUUCUCCUCAGAAAACUUUAACUUAGCAACUCCAUCCUCU
Molecule: long non-coding RNA, 409 nt
Organism: Arabidopsis thaliana (thale cress)
Lineage: Eukaryota; Viridiplantae; Streptophyta; Magnoliopsida; Brassicales; Brassicaceae
Product: other RNA
Exons: 1
Source: RefSeq